Molecule: ribosomal RNA, 389 nt
Filed under: uncultured organism
Description: bacterial SSU rRNA
Rfam family: Bacterial small subunit ribosomal RNA
Source: RNAcentral
UGCCUAAUACAUGCAAGUCAACUGAAGCAAGGUAGCAAUAUCUUGUGGAGGUGGCGCACGGGUGAGUAACACGUAGGUAAUCUGCCUUCAGGUCUGACAUAACUCCGGGAAACCGGAGCUAAUAGCAGAUGAUGCAGCGGCUUGACAUCAAGACAGUUGUUAAAGCUUCGGCGCCUGAAGAUGAGCCUGCGUCUGAUUAGCUAGUUGGCGGAGUAAUAGCCCACCAAGGCUUCGAUCAGUAACUGGUCUGAGAGGAUGAUCAGUCACACUGGAACUGAGACACGGUCCAGACUCCUACGGGAGGCAGCAGUAAGGAAUAUUGCUCAAUGGGGGAAACCCUGAAGCAGCAACGCCGCGUGAAGGAUGAAGGGCUUUUGCUCGUAAACUUC